RNAcentral lists this ribosomal RNA (1171 nucleotides) under Bacillus sp. enrichment culture clone CBMAI_742. RNAcentral describes it as "bacterial SSU rRNA". It matches the Rfam family "Bacterial small subunit ribosomal RNA", at positions 137 to 1297 of the family's 1533-position model. The record is from RNAcentral. Lineage: Bacteria; Bacillati; Bacillota; Bacilli; Caryophanales; Bacillaceae.
ACUGGGAUAACUCCGGGAAACCGGAGCUAAUACCGGAUAGUUCCUUGAACCGCAUGGUUCAAGGAUGAAAGACGGUUUCGGCUGUCACUUACAGAUGGACCCGCGGCGCAUUAGCUAGUUGGUGGGGUAAUGGCUCACCAAGGCGACGAUGCGUAGCCGACCUGAGAGGGUGAUCGGCCACACUGGGACUGAGACACGGCCCAGACUCCUACGGGAGGCAGCAGUAGGGAAUCUUCCGCAAUGGACGAAAGUCUGACGGAGCAACGCCGCGUGAGUGAUGAAGGUUUUCGGAUCGUAAAGCUCUGUUGUUAGGGAAGAACAAGUGCGAGAGUAACUGCUCGCACCUUGACGGUACCUAACCAGAAAGCCACGGCUAACUACGUGCCAGCAGCCGCGGUAAUACGUAGGUGGCAAGCGUUGUCCGGAAUUAUUGGGCGUAAAGGGCUCGCAGGCGGUUUCUUAAGUCUGAUGUGAAAGCCCCCGGCUCAACCGGGGAGGGUCAUUGGAAACUGGGAAACUUGAGUGCAGAAGAGGAGAGUGGAAUUCCACGUGUAGCGGUGAAAUGCGUAGAGAUGUGGAGGAACACCAGUGGCGAAGGCGACUCUCUGGUCUGUAACUGACGCUGAGGAGCGAAAGCGUGGGGAGCGAACAGGAUUAGAUACCCUGGUAGUCCACGCCGUAAACGAUGAGUGCUAAGUGUUAGGGGNUUUCCGCCCCUUAGUGCUGCAGCUAACGCAUAAGCACUCCGCCUGGGAGUACGUCGCAAGACUGAAACUCACAAGGAUUGACGGGGGCCCGCACAAGCGGUGGAGCAUGUGGUUUAAUUCGAAGCAACGCGAAGAACCUUACCAGGUCUUGACAUCCUCUGACAACCCUAGAGAUAGGGCUUUCCCUUCGGGGACAGAGUGACAGGUGGUGCAUGGUUGUCGUCAGCUCGUGUCGUGAGAUGUUGGGUUAAGUCCCGCAACGAGCGCAACCCUUGAUCUUAGUUGCCAGCAUUCAGUUGGGCACUCUAAGGUGACUGCCGGUGACAAACCGGAGGAAGGUGGGGAUGACGUCAAAUCAUCAUGCCCCUUAUGACCUGGGCUACACACGUGCUACAAUGGACAGAACAAAGGGCUGCAAAGACCGCAAGGUUUAGCCAAUCCCAUAAAUCUGUUCUCAGUUCGGA